GCCCCAGACUCCUACGGGAGGCAGCGGUGGGGAAUCUUAGACAAUGGGGGCAACCCUGAUCUAGCCAUGCCGCGUGAGUGAUGAAGGCCUUAGGGUCGUAAAGCUCUUUCGCCUGUGAUGAUAAUGACAGUAGCAGGUAAAGAAACCCCGGCUAACUCCGUGCCAGCAGCCGCGGUAAUACGGAGGGGGUUAGCGUUGUUCGGAAUUACUGGGCGUAAAGCGCGCGUAGGCGGAUUAGAAAGUUGGGGGUGAAAUCCCGGGGCUCAACCUCGGAACUGCCUCCAAAACUGCUAGUCUAGAGUUCGAGAGAGGUGAGUGGAAUUCCGAGUGUAGAGGUGAAAUUCGUAGAUAUUCGGAGGAACACCAGUGGCGAAGGCGGCUCACUGGCUCGAUACUGACGCUGAGGUGCGAAGGUGUGGGGAGCAAACAGGAUUAAAUACCCUGGUAGUCCACACCGUAAACGAUGAAUGCCAGUCGUCGGGUAGUAUACUAUUCGGUGACACACCUAACGGAUUAAGCAUUCCGCCUGGGGAGUACGGUCCCAAGAUUAAAACUCAAAGGAAUUGACGGGGGCCCGCACAAGCGGUGGAGCAUGUGGUUUAAUU
This 605-nucleotide ribosomal RNA is filed under the name uncultured marine bacterium. RNAcentral's name for it is "bacterial SSU rRNA". It matches the Rfam family "Bacterial small subunit ribosomal RNA", at positions 328 to 951 of the family's 1533-position model. The record is from RNAcentral.